GGAAGUUUAGCUCAGUUGGGAGAGCAUCUGCCUUACAAGCAGGGGGUCAUAGGUUCGAGCCCUAUAACUUCCACCA
Molecule: transfer RNA, 76 nt
Filed under: Candidatus Borkfalkia avicola
Lineage: Bacteria; Bacillati; Bacillota; Clostridia; Christensenellales; Christensenellaceae
Also listed under: 6 other names
Description: tRNA-Val
Rfam family: tRNA
About the family: Transfer RNA (tRNA) molecules are approximately 80 nucleotides in length. Their secondary structure includes four short double-helical elements and three loops (D, anti-codon, and T loops). Further hydrogen bonds mediate the characteristic L-shaped molecular structure. tRNAs have two regions of fundamental functional importance: the anti-codon, which is responsible for specific mRNA codon recognition, and the 3' end, to which the tRNAs corresponding amino acid is attached (by aminoacyl-tRNA synthetases). tRNAs cope with the degeneracy of the genetic code in two manners: having more than one tRNA (with a specific anti-codon) for a particular amino acid; and 'wobble' base-pairing, i.e. permitting non-standard base-pairing at the 3rd anti-codon position.
Source: RNAcentral